CUUCCAUCAGCAGUGCCGUUACUUUUAUCUGUGCAGGAAUUCCACUCAAACACAACUUGCUGAUUCAUCUCCCAUCGUGCAGAGACAGUCUUCUUGCUGGUAGUUGGAAAGUAACACGGCAGUGUCGCUUUUUCUCCCUCUUUCACGGUGACAUUGAAAGGAACUAGAACUUUAACCUGGAUGCGCAUCUCCCGGCUGCCGCAUCUUAGCACAUAAACUCCACUGUCAUUGUAAAAUAUGCGCCUGAACAAAAUGGAAGAGCUUUGAAGGAUCCGGUGUCGGUAGCCCCGGGCGGGUGCCCACACACCGCGCUGGUGAACAGCCACCUCCACCUCCCCCUGGGGCUCAGCCCGGAGCAAUUUUCCUUCUUCAUCGUUCUUGCAGUUUUGUGGAAACGUGAAGGAGUUUCCUAAAACAGGCUGGACAUCUGCAGACAAACGGGUAAAAACAGCGACGACGAGCAGCGAGCCUAACAUAUCUGAACACCGGUCAGAAAGUCAAGUGCUUCAAGAGUCCCCCACCGGCACCACCCCUCAAAUGAGAGCUGAGGACGUUUGCCCCACAAAGGGCAGGCGUGGAGAGGAGAGGGCGGUGUAGCAGAGCACGCGCAUGUUUUGCGGGGAAGGAUUCUGGAUCAGCACCAUGAUGCAAACUCGUAGCCACUGUGUAUACAGUAUUCUGGAAAAGGUUCUGUAUUCAGCUGACAUGAUGAUGCUGCUCAUCUUCAUCUCCAGCUGUGUGGGUGGAGCAGCAGCAGAGGUGGAGGCUGAGGAUGGUGUGGAUGAUCAGGAGCUUCACUCUGAAUCCUGACCUCCUCCAUGUGCUUCAGUGACUUCUGCCUCCAUAAUUUGGUCACCAUGGCGACCAGCUGGAUGAUUGGUGUCCCUCCUCUCACUUUCUGAGAGCACUGAGGGCAUCCUGUCCAGCUUCAGGACCACCUGGCAGGAGUUUGUGGAGGACCUGGGCUUCUGCUGGUCAUCGCCCUCCUCUCCCUGGGCCUCGGCUACUACGUCAGCAGAGUCCUGCCUUUCUCAGGGUGGAGAGGAGGCAGCAAAAUAGAUGAAGAUCUUUAUGUAGAACAAAAACUCUGGUAUUUAUUUGUUGUGCAAAUCUGAUCAUUUUAUUGGAAUAUGAACAACAUCAUGUGAUGCUGCCAGUGCAAAGAAGAGAGGACGGUGACUCAGAGACACCAACAGCUUCAUGUGUGGCCUAACACCUUUACAAGCACUCACUGAUAAAGUCACUUUUACAUCCCUGUUUGCUCUGUUACAAGCUGUAUAUUACUGAUGUUUUGUAUCUUUUCAUUGUUUUCUCCUCACUUGUUAUUUAUUCAAAUGUUGUUGGUAUGAAUUUUUCCCUCGCUGUCUUUAUUUCACACAAAUACCUGCAGCCUUUCUGACUGGAAACAGUUUUGUCAGGAUAACAGAGCCGACUGCAGAGAAACACCUGGACUGAGUUUAGAUGAAGCUUCAGGUUUAACUGUGGGAUUAUGGCAGCAGAUUAAUGCUUCUUACUUUGUUGUAUAUUCAUUUUAUCUUAAUGUGCUUUUGUUAAAGGUUUUCAGUGUUUAUUCCAUCAAACAUUUGAAGUCAUUUAAUGUGCAAAAUGAAUAAAUUCAUGACUGUAAUCUGCAUCAGGUUAGAGCGUCACUUUGUUACCAACUCAAAACUUUAUUGGCACACAGCAGCUAAGCUGAGCUUUUUACAAAGAGCAAAGAAAACAGGAAAGACUAAAUCUGUACAAACGGGC
Long non-coding RNA from Oreochromis aureus, 1749 nucleotides. NCBI's taxonomy places the organism in Eukaryota, Metazoa, Chordata, Actinopteri, Cichliformes, Cichlidae. The record is from Ensembl.